AAGGCUCGAUAGAUUUCAGCAAUGAUCAUGGGCACUAUGCUAAAAGACUGCCCGUUGAUCCCUUCCAUUAAGGUCUUAGUCACCAUGGCUAGUCCGGUGGGAUCCUAGCCAUCUUCGUAGGAAAGACCAUCAUGCCCAGGAAAUAGAACAUGAACACAAAUACCCUUCUAUGUAUACGCCCUAAAGAGGUAAGGGCGAACUCGUCAGUAUAGGUGCGAUAGGACUUGCUAGGGCUAUAUCUCUCGUACAAGAAAUCAAACGGUAUGUAGGAGUCCUUCAAACAAGCCAGGUCAGGAUUUUUCUUAAGUCCCAUAAUCUUAAG
RNAcentral lists this long non-coding RNA (322 nucleotides) under Nicotiana benthamiana. RNAcentral describes it as "long non-coding RNA (NBEN_LNC026050)". Lineage: Eukaryota; Viridiplantae; Streptophyta; Magnoliopsida; Solanales; Solanaceae. The record is from RNAcentral.